GUACUCUCACACUCUCUGAUCCUUUGGAUCUGGGGAGCGGUGGACUUGGGUGCUUGCUGCUUCCUUGUGGCUCACCUGAAAUGCAUCAGUGCAUCUCUUGAUUGGACAUAGUACGGCGUGAUAAGUGUCUUCGCCGGCACCUCAUUAGAGGGUGGCCAAUUGGGGGCUCUGUGCUUUCAAACUGUCUUCGGACAAUCUCUGACA
RNAcentral lists this unclassified non-coding RNA (204 nucleotides) under uncultured Sebacinaceae. RNAcentral describes it as "sequence contains ITS2". The record is from RNAcentral. Lineage: Eukaryota; Fungi; Basidiomycota; Agaricomycetes; Sebacinales; Sebacinaceae.